Molecule: non-coding RNA, 113 nt
Organism: Acanthosepion pharaonis
Lineage: Eukaryota; Metazoa; Mollusca; Cephalopoda; Sepiida; Sepiidae
Source: the annotation of a GenBank genome assembly
UUACGGCCAUAUCAGGUUGAAACAUCGCUUCUCGUACGAUCAUCGAAGUUAAGCAACUUCGAACUCAGUCAGUACCUGGAUGGGUGACUGAUUGGGACUACCAACUGCUGUAA